GGUGGGAUUGAUGGAUUUGCAGUAGGUAAAUCAAGUUAAUCAACAGCUCCCCACCAAGAAAGCAGCUGGUCCUGUAACUAGGGAACCGGCGCCUCUAUUUCCAGAUAGUACAAUCCUUUCUGGGUUUUAUACUCUGAAAAAGUAGAGGCUUGGGAAAUUAACAGGGAAAGGAGUUUUUGGAGAGAUUUUAAGCAUAUUCCACAGCAGCAAAAUUCCCAGGCAGUUACGCCAUUAAAGUGAUGUCCUUGGUUGAUUAUGGAUUUGCUUUUUGAUAUUCUCCUAAUGUUGAACACAAGCCAUACAAACCUGACCCAAGACUUUGUCAUGAUGGGACUAUUGAGUUCACAAGCAUUGAUGCACAUGAUGGAGUUUGUCCAUCACAUAGAGGGGAUCUAGAAAUACUUGGCUACUGCUUGUUACUAUGGUCUUGUGGCAGACUUUUAUGGGAGGAUCACAUAGAUGAUAAGCCAAAGGUGGCAAGUUUGAAGAAAAGGUAUAAAGAUGCUCCUAAUGACCUGAUUGAGAAUUGCUUCAAAGAAGAGGCACACCCAAAAUAUCUUCAAAGAUACAUGGAACUCAUUUAUAAAUUGUCAUAUGAUGGACCCCUCAAUACGAGAAAUUAAGAAAUUUAUUUAUGAAGGAACUGAAAGAUAACAGCAUGAGUGAUGAUGGAACUGGCCUUGACUGGAUUAGAGGAGGAGCAGGAGGGUUGAAAGGAGAGAAAAGAAAACAUGAUCCUAAACCAGGCAAUGAAUCUAAAAUGGUGCCAAAGGCUAAGGGUAGAAGAAUGGCAUGAAUUAUCUUGAACAUACCAUCUUCAGUUAACUCAUGGUGUGUAACAUUUUUUAUUGGAGCUGUUGAGUCAUAAGUCGAUCAAUUUUAUUUUUUAUUCUCUCACUGAUUUUAUAAUUUAAUUUCCUUUUUCUACUGUAAUUUUGACUGCAAGAUCUCUUAUUAUUAUAAUUAAUAA
This is a long non-coding RNA of Amphimedon queenslandica, 970 nucleotides long. RefSeq lists it as uncharacterized. Lineage: Eukaryota; Metazoa; Porifera; Demospongiae; Haplosclerida; Niphatidae. The record is from RefSeq and is a predicted model, not a curated record. The transcript has 4 exons.